This 2926-nucleotide ribosomal RNA is filed under the name Escherichia coli. RNAcentral describes it as "partial 23S ribosomal RNA". It matches the Rfam family "Bacterial large subunit ribosomal RNA". Lineage: Bacteria; Pseudomonadati; Pseudomonadota; Gammaproteobacteria; Enterobacterales; Enterobacteriaceae. The record is from RNAcentral.
GGGUUGUGAGGUUAAGCGACUAAGCGUACACGGUGGAUGCCCUGGCAGUCAGAGGCGAUGAAGGACGUGCUAAUCUGCGAUAAGCGUCGGUAAGGUGAUAUGAACCGUUAUAACCGGCGAUUUCCGAAUGGGGAAACCCAGUGUGAUUCGUCACACUAUCAUUAACUGAAUCCAUAGGUUAAUGAGGCGAACCGGGGGAACUGAAACAUCUAAGUACCCCGAGGAAAAGAAAUCAACCGAGAUUCCCCCAGUAGCGGCGAGCGAACGGGGAGCAGCCCAGAGCCUGAAUCAGUGUGUGUGUUAGUGGAAGCGUCUGGAAAGGCGCGCGAUACAGGGUGACAGCCCCGUACACAAAAAUGCACAUGCUGUGAGCUCGAUGAGUAGGGCGGGACACGUGGUAUCCUGUCUGAAUAUGGGGGGACCAUCCUCCAAGGCUAAAUACUCCUGACUGACCGAUAGUGAACCAGUACCGUGAGGGAAAGGCGAAAAGAACCCCGGCGAGGGGAGUGAAAAAGAACCUGAAACCGUGUACGUACAAGCAGUGGGAGCACGCUUCGGCGUGUGACUGCGUACCUUUUGUAUAAUGGGUCAGCGACUUAUAUUCUGUAGCAAGGUUAACCGAAUAGGGGAGCCGAAGGGAAACCGAGUCUUAACUGGGCGUUAAGUUGCAGGGUAUAGACCCGAAACCCGGUGAUCUAGCCAUGGGCAGGUUGAAGGUUGGGUAACACUAACUGGAGGACCGAACCGACUAAUGUUGAAAAAUUAGCGGAUGACUUGUGGCUGGGGGUGAAAGGCCAAUCAAACCGGGAGAUAGCUGGUUCUCCCCGAAAGCUAUUUAGGUAGCGCCUCGUGAAUUCAUCUCCGGGGGUAGAGCACUGUUUCGGCAAGGGGGUCAUCCCGACUUACCAACCCGAUGCAAACUGCGAAUACCGGAGAAUGUUAUCACGGGAGACACACGGCGGGUGCUAACGUCCGUCGUGAAGAGGGAAACAACCCAGACCGCCAGCUAAGGUCCCAAAGUCAUGGUUAAGUGGGAAACGAUGUGGGAAGGCCCAGACAGCCAGGAUGUUGGCUUAGAAGCAGCCAUCAUUUAAAGAAAGCGUAAUAGCUCACUGGUCGAGUCGGCCUGCGCGGAAGAUGUAACGGGGCUAAACCAUGCACCGAAGCUGCGGCAGCGACACUAUGUGUUGUUGGGUAGGGGAGCGUUCUGUAAGCCUGUGAAGGUGUGCUGUGAGGCAUGCUGGAGGUAUCAGAAGUGCGAAUGCUGACAUAAGUAACGAUAAAGCGGGUGAAAAGCCCGCUCGCCGGAAGACCAAGGGUUCCUGUCCAACGUUAAUCGGGGCAGGGUGAGUCGACCCCUAAGGCGAGGCCGAAAGGCGUAGUCGAUGGGAAACAGGUUAAUAUUCCUGUACUUGGUGUUACUGCGAAGGGGGGACGGAGAAGGCUAUGUUGGCCGGGCGACGGUUGUCCCGGUUUAAGCGUGUAGGCUGGUUUUCCAGGCAAAUCCGGAAAAUCAAGGCUGAGGCGUGAUGACGAGGCACUACGGUGCUGAAGCAACAAAUGCCCUGCUUCCAGGAAAAGCCUCUAAGCAUCAGGUAACAUCAAAUCGUACCCCAAACCGACACAGGUGGUCAGGUAGAGAAUACCAAGGCGCUUGAGAGAACUCGGGUGAAGGAACUAGGCAAAAUGGUGCCGUAACUUCGGGAGAAGGCACGCUGAUAUGUAGGUGAAGCGACUUGCUCGUGGAGCUGAAAUCAGUCGAAGAUACCAGCUGGCUGCAACUGUUUAUUAAAAACACAGCACUGUGCAAACACGAAAGUGGACGUAUACGGUGUGACGCCUGCCCGGUGCCGGAAGGUUAAUUGAUGGGGUUAGCGGUAACGCGAAGCUCUUGAUCGAAGCCCCGGUAAACGGCGGCCGUAACUAUAACGGUCCUAAGGUAGCGAAAUUCCUUGUCGGGUAAGUUCCGACCUGCACGAAUGGCGUAAUGAUGGCCAGGCUGUCUCCACCCGAGACUCAGUGAAAUUGAACUCGCUGUGAAGAUGCAGUGUACCCGCGGCAAGACGGAAAGACCCCGUGAACCUUUACUAUAGCUUGACACUGAACAUUGAGCCUUGAUGUGUAGGAUAGGUGGGAGGCUUUGAAGUGUGGACGCCAGUCUGCAUGGAGCCGACCUUGAAAUACCACCCUUUAAUGUUUGAUGUUCUAACGUUGGCCCCUGAUCGGGGUUGCGGACAGUGUCUGGUGGGUAGUUUGACUGGGGCGGUCUCCUCCUAAAGAGUAACGGAGGAGCACGAAGGUUGGCUAAUCCUGGUCGGACAUCAGGAGGUUAGUGCAAUGGCAUAAGCCAGCUUGACUGCGAGCGUGACGGCGCGAGCAGGUGCGAAAGCAGGUCAUAGUGAUCCGGUGGUUCUGAAUGGAAGGGCCAUCGCUCAACGGAUAAAAGGUACUCCGGGGAUAACAGGCUGAUACCGCCCAAGAGUUCAUAUCGACGGCGGUGUUUGGCACCUCGAUGUCGGCUCAUCACAUCCUGGGGCUGAAGUAGGUCCCAAGGGUAUGGCUGUUCGCCAUUUAAAGUGGUACGCGAGCUGGGUUUAGAACGUCGUGAGACAGUUCGGUCCCUAUCUGCCGUGGGCGCUGGAGAACUGAGGGGGGCUGCUCCUAGUACGAGAGGACCGGAGUGGACGCAUCACUGGUGUUCGGGUUGUCAUGCCAAUGGCACUGCCCGGUAGCUAAAUGCGGAAGAGAUAAGUGCUGAAAGCAUCUAAGCACGAAACUUGCCCCGAGAUGAGUUCUCCCUGACUCCCUGAGAGUCCUGAAGGAACGUUGAAGACGACGACGUUGAUAGGCCGGGUGUGUAAGCGCAGCGAUGCGUUGAGCUAACCGGUACUAAUGAACCGUGAGGCUUAACCUUACAACGCCGAAG